Rhinopithecus roxellana (golden snub-nosed monkey) is the source of this 452-nucleotide RNA transcript. It is a transcript of the gene named transcription initiation factor IIA subunit 2 pseudogene, with no coding region annotated. The record is from RefSeq and is a predicted model, not a curated record. The transcript has a single exon. Lineage: Eukaryota; Metazoa; Chordata; Mammalia; Primates; Cercopithecidae.
GGCGGCUGGAGAGGUGGUCGGGGAAGUAGGAACCUCCUGCCAGGCUCGUGGUGGCUUCUUUCUGCUCUGCGGCGGGAAGCGCCUUCCCAUCAAUGCAAGCUUGAAUAAGAAAAACAAAGUCUUCCUCCUAAGCCAUGGCAUAUCAGUUAUACAGAAAUACCACUUUGGGAAACAGUCUUCAGGAGAGCCUAGAUGAGCUCAUACAGUCUCAACAGAUCACUCCCCAACUUGCCCUUCAAGUUCUACUUCAGUUUGAUAAGGCUAUAAAUUGUGCACUGGCUCAGAGGGUCAGGAACAGAGUCAAUUUCAGGGGCUCUCUAAAUACAUACAGAUUCUGCGAUAAUGUGUGGACUUUUGUAUUGAAUGAUGUUGAAUUCAGAGAGGUGACAGAACUUACUAAAGUGGAUAAAGUGAAAAUUGUAGCCUGUGAUGGUAAAAAUACUACAGAAUGA